AUAUGCUUGUCCCUAAGACUAAGCCAUGCAUGCCAGAGGUUAAUAGGCUGCCCCCCUAGGUAACUUAUAGGGCUCUGCUCUGGGGGCCGGCCAUUUGACCAGCGAACGGCUCCGUAUAUCUGUUGUAACCUAUCGUGGCGUCCUGGCGUGGAUAAGCACGGAAAAGCUGUGUGUAAACCAGCUAACGGGGAAUUAUGUUGAUCGGCGUGUCUUGCAGCCGCUUCCUCAGGCCUCAUCCGGCAAAUCGAGCGCUUUUCAGCGUGCUGGUGGCCCCCCUAUCCCUCGCCUAAAGUACAGGCGCCUGCGGGCGCUCAUGGAAACGGCGGUCUCUUCUGGGGGAACUUUUCUAGUCAUCGACUGCCCGGUUCUCGGGCAGUUGGUACAGGUGACGGCCCCCCAGUAGAAGAGCCUUACCACCAGAUCACGAUGGGCUUCAGACCUAUCAGCUAGACGGUAGGGUAUUGGCCUACCGUGGCUACGACGGGUACAGAGGAUUAGGGUUUGAUCCUGGAGAGGUAGCCUGAGAAAUCGCUCCCACUUCUAAGGAAGGCAGCAGGCGCGUAACGUUCCCAAUGCACUGCCGGUGUGAGGACGUGACGGGACAUAACAAUGCUCCUUGUGAGUAAUUGACAAAUGGGGUGGGCUUAAACGCCCCACCGAGAAGCGACUGGAGGACAAGUCCGGUGCCAGCACCCGCGGUAAUUCCGGCUCCAGAAGUAUAUAGUUAAUUUGCUGCGGUUAAAACGCUCGUAGUCAAGAACUGGAGGUGAGCGUCUAGCCAAGCGGAAGAACGGGUCCUAGGUUUCCCAGCAGUCGGUCUGGGCCGGUACCUGCCUGGUUGUCGGUGCCCUCCACUUUUGGGGCUGCUGCGCCAGAGAAGGGCCGUGCCGUUACACGCAGAUCGCAGUUUGGGAGCACAGCCUGGUAGUACCCGAACGGCCGCGUGCUGGGGCCCAAAGUAGUUUUUGUGGUCCUGGGAUGCCCUCCACGGACCGGGGCGGCAUGCCCAGUGAAGGAAGGAACUAAUCAUGAACCGGUCAACCCAAGCGAAACUUGGGGGGCCAGGGGCAUGGAUCGUCCUCUGGAUCUCACCUUGCCGUCCAGUGAGCAAGUACUGAGCACGCCCGAUGUAGGGGCCUUUGCGGUGCCCUAUUGACGGCGGGUUAGGCGGUACGCGUAGAUAGGCUCAUGUGGUUCAGGGACUUUGAGCAAACUCAAGCGCUUAAGGUAAGGCCCUUAGCCGGCCACCAGCAUCAGACAGUAGCAAAGUAUCCCACAGCGUUGCUAGGGGCGGCCUCUCACGGGGCUGGACCCUCAGUCGACAAUUACAUCGCAUUUUCGGUAGAGUCACGGAAAGAGGGCUGCUGAAUCUCGCGAGCAUAACGGUAUACAGGGGCAAUCGGGGCCGGCCACAUGGCGGGGGGAGUGGUGAAAUACGAUGAUCCUCGCUGGGUGAACAAACGCGAAAGCAGCCGGCCAGGGUGCGCCCGUUGAUCAAGAACGAAAGCCUGGGGAGCGAAUGUGAUCAGAUACCACAGUAGUCCAGGCCUUAAACGUUGCCAGCUGGAGGCGGGCCCAGGUCAGUGCAGACUUGGCCCGAAUCCUGAGGGAAACCAAAGCU
RNAcentral lists this ribosomal RNA (1621 nucleotides) under Lycogala epidendrum. Its description in RNAcentral is "partial small subunit ribosomal RNA". It matches the Rfam family "Eukaryotic small subunit ribosomal RNA", at positions 26 to 1105 of the family's 1831-position model. Lineage: Eukaryota; Evosea; Eumycetozoa; Liceales; Enteridiidae. The record is from RNAcentral.